GACGUAGGGGGCGAGCGUUGUCCGGAUUUAUUGGGCGUAAAGAGCUCGUAGGCGGCCUCGUAAGUCGGAUGUGAAAUCUCCAGGCUCAACCUGGAGAGGCCAUCCGAUACUGCGAUGGCUAGAGUCCGGUAGGGGAGUGCGGAAUUCCCGGUGUAGCGGUGAAAUGCAUAGAUAUCGGGAGGAACACCAGUAGCGAAGGCGGCACUCUGGGCCGGAACUGACGCUGAGGAGCGAAAGCGUGGGGAGCAAACAGGAUUAGAAACCCUCGUAGUCC
Molecule: ribosomal RNA, 274 nt
Filed under: uncultured bacterium
Lineage: Bacteria
Description: partial 16S ribosomal RNA
Rfam family: Bacterial small subunit ribosomal RNA
Source: RNAcentral